Molecule: transfer RNA, 73 nt
Filed under: Bacteroides phage crAss001
Lineage: Duplodnaviria; Heunggongvirae; Uroviricota; Caudoviricetes; Crassvirales; Steigviridae
Description: tRNA-Gly
Rfam family: tRNA
About the family: Transfer RNA (tRNA) molecules are approximately 80 nucleotides in length. Their secondary structure includes four short double-helical elements and three loops (D, anti-codon, and T loops). Further hydrogen bonds mediate the characteristic L-shaped molecular structure. tRNAs have two regions of fundamental functional importance: the anti-codon, which is responsible for specific mRNA codon recognition, and the 3' end, to which the tRNAs corresponding amino acid is attached (by aminoacyl-tRNA synthetases). tRNAs cope with the degeneracy of the genetic code in two manners: having more than one tRNA (with a specific anti-codon) for a particular amino acid; and 'wobble' base-pairing, i.e. permitting non-standard base-pairing at the 3rd anti-codon position.
Source: RNAcentral
UAGGUAUGGUGUUAGUGGUUAGCACAUGACAUUGCCAAUGUCAAGGGGACAGUUCAAAUCUGUUUAUCUACUC